UUUCCGUAGGUGAACCUGCGGAAGGAUCAUUACAGAGUUCAUGCCCUCACGGGUAGAUCUCCCACCCUUGAAUAUUUAUACCUUAGUUGCUUUGGCAGGCCGUGGAAACACCAUGGGCUCCGGCCUAUGCGUGCCUGCCAGAGGAAACAAACUCUGUUUUUAGUGAUGUCUGAGUACUAUAUAAUAGUUAAAACUUUCAACAACGGAUCUCUUGGUUCUG
RNAcentral lists this unclassified non-coding RNA (220 nucleotides) under plant metagenome. Its description in RNAcentral is "partial contains small subunit ribosomal RNA, internal transcribed spacer 1, and 5.8S ribosomal RNA". The record is from RNAcentral.